CAAAUUCCAUCAUGGCAAAUGGAAAGAGGUGUUCCCAUGUGUGUGUGUGCGCGCGUGUACGUUGUCAACCUACUGUGGACUUGCUGCUUGCCCGUGACCAGAGAUCACCACCGACCCCAAUGCAGGCGGGAGGAGGAGGAGCCGUGGUGCGUGGGUACUGGGUUGUGGAGGAGGAGGAGAGAUGCUCUGGGGAAGAGACUGCUGAGGCCUCCAGAGCCUCGGGGACCUGCAGAAGAUGGCUAUGGAGAACUUUAUUUCCCCCAUCUUGUGGACCUAAGGAUUUUGAUAUUGAGUUACGGACUUAGGUUUCGUGGCUUCAGAGGGGCACAGAAGCACCGGCAGCACCGCCUCCUCCACCGCCCGUGGGAUGAGCAGGGCUGUGAGAUGGUGGGACCUGCAGCACCCCGUCCUGUACAUAACCCGUGAGCUGUCUGUAACAGGUUUUUUCACCCCUUGUAAUUUCUUUUAAUUUUGGUUUUUUGUUUUUUUUUUCCUCUCUUUUUCUUUUCUUUUCUUUCUUUUUUUUUUUUUUUUUGCCCCUUCCCCGGUUCGUCAAUUGUGUUGAAAUUGUCGGAGUUUGUAACGGUAACUUUCAGAGGAUAUUGUACUAAAGAGAGAAUUGCACUCAAUAAAAAUUAUGAAAUAA
Non-coding RNA from Phasianus colchicus (ring-necked pheasant), 646 nucleotides. Lineage: Eukaryota; Metazoa; Chordata; Aves; Galliformes; Phasianidae. The record is from RefSeq and is a predicted model, not a curated record.